UGGUUUAUUACUGGUGACGAUUAGCAU
Molecule: small RNA, 27 nt
Filed under: Bombyx mori (domestic silkworm)
Lineage: Eukaryota; Metazoa; Arthropoda; Insecta; Lepidoptera; Bombycidae
Description: piRNA piR-bmo-2114489
Source: RNAcentral